AUGAGUACAAAUCGCCGCCACCUCCUUCCCCUUCCCCACCUCCUCCUUAUCUUUACAAGUCGCCGCCACCUCCUUCACCGUCUCCUCCUCCUCCUCCUUAUGUGUACAAGUCACCGCCACCUCCUUCACCGUCCCCACCACCACCAUACGUGUACAAGUCGCCACCACCACCUUCCCCGUCUCCGCCACCACCAUAUGAGUACAAGUCGCCGCCACCACCUUCCCCGUCUCCACCACCACCAUAUGAGUACAAAUCUCCUCCUCCACCAUCACCGUCACCUCCCCCCCCUUACCACCACUCCUCUCCACCACCACCUUCGCCAUCUCCUCCUCCACCUUACCACGACUCCUCUCCACCACCACCUUCGCCAUCUCCUCCUCCACCUUACCACGACUCCUCUCCACCACCACCUUCGCCAUCUCCUCCUCCACCUUACCACGACUCCUCUCCACCACCACCUUCGCCAUCUCCUCCUCCACCUUACCACGACUCCUCUCCACCACCACCUUCGCCAUCUCCUCCUCCACCUUACCACGACUCCUCUCCACCACCACCAUAUGAGUACAAAUCUCCUCCUCCACCAUCACCGUCACCUCCCCCACCUUACGAGUACAAGUCUCCUCCUCCUCCUUCACCGUCACCACCGCCACCAUACUACUACAAGUCACCGCCGCCACCAUCACCCUCUCCUCCUCCACCAUACUACUAUAAAUCUCCACCACCACCUUCUCCAUCUCCGCCGCCACCUUACCACUACUCUUCUCCACCACCACCUAAGAAAUCACCUCCACCACCAUACUACUACAAAUCUCCACCACCACCUUCGCCAUCUCCUCCUCCACCUUACCACUACUCCUCUCCACCACCACCUAAAAAAUCACCUCCACCACCAUACUACUAUAAGUCUCCACCACCACCUUCACCAUCUCCUCCACCACCGUACUACUAUAAGUCUCCGCCGCCACCAUCACCCUCUCCUCCACCACCAUACUAUUAUAAAUCCCCACCACCACCUUCACCAUCUCCUCCACCGCCGUACUACUACAAGUCCCCACCACCACCUUCUCCGUCUCCUCCACCACCAUAUUACUACAAAUCUCCACCACCGCCAUCACCAUCACCUCCACCACCAUACUACUACAAAUCUCCACCACCGCCAUCACCAUCACCUCCACCACCAUACUACUACACAUCCCCAAAUCUCCACCACCGCCAUCACCAUCACCUCCACCACCAUACUACUACAAAUCCCCUCCACCUCCGGCGAAAUCUCCCCCACCACCUCCGUACUAUUACAAGUCUCCGCCGCCACCUAAGGCUUACCCUC
This 1328-nucleotide long non-coding RNA is filed under the name Linum usitatissimum (flax). Its description in RNAcentral is "long non-coding RNA (LUSI_LNC005639)". The record is from RNAcentral. Lineage: Eukaryota; Viridiplantae; Streptophyta; Magnoliopsida; Malpighiales; Linaceae.